Amphiprion ocellaris (clown anemonefish) is the source of this 728-nucleotide long non-coding RNA. NCBI's taxonomy places the organism in Eukaryota, Metazoa, Chordata, Actinopteri, Pomacentridae. The record is from Ensembl.
UUCAGUUUUACGCUUCGCUGCGUAAACAGCGACUUUAUCCAAGAUGCUUUGAGGAAAAGAGUCAUAUCAACGCAAAACACCGCUGCUGGGAUGUUUUUUUGUUUUUUUUUACCUUUUUGAAGCUACAUUCUGUGAUUACUCAGCGGUAAAACCUGAAGGUUUCCAAACGUUUGACCUACUGGACACCGAACCUUCUGUUUCCUCUGAGGCGUUUGGAUAAAACUUAUAAAGUGGGAAUAACAGCACUUCUUAACCCAGCAACCAGCCCAGGUGGCAUCUCAAAGCAACAAUAUGCUGGAAAUAUGAAAUGUGCGGUGACCACUAAAGCCUCCAACCUUUCCGAGACUGAGCUGCAGAAACUCCAGAAGCAGCAGGGAUCUCCGUCAUGAACUUCCGUGGAUUUAAGACAGAAUAUCCCCGUGGAUGGAAACACUUGUGAUGCUGCUGCAGGACAUCAGCGCCAUGGGAGGAAUGCAUCUGCAGAUUAGAGAGAAUCUACAAACAGGGUUUCCUGUUUAUUGGAGUCUCUCUGGUCCUUAAGGGAAGUUGUGCACACAUGCUAUUAUAACUUGAAACACCAAGCGGCCAUCCACGGCUGCCUGAUUGUUAAACUAUGAGCCGGUAUAUCAGCUGGGAGCUCUGGGAGAGUUAACCCUCUCUGGUUGCUUCUUGUUUGAGCUGUUGUAGAUGAGGUUUGGGAGGAAAUGGACGAGACACCAGUGGAGCUG